Long non-coding RNA from Erigeron canadensis, 587 nucleotides. RefSeq lists it as uncharacterized. The record is from RefSeq and is a predicted model, not a curated record. NCBI's taxonomy places the organism in Eukaryota, Viridiplantae, Streptophyta, Magnoliopsida, Asterales, Asteraceae. The transcript is spliced from 2 exons.
UAAUGAUUGAUGAUGCUUGUUUUAAAAAAAUAUGGUUAAUGAAAACUAAAACUAAGUAAUAAAACAUUAUAGAGUAAAUUGGGGGAUUGGUUAUCAUUACCCUUAUUUUACCCCGCCUUAUAUUCCUCACAGGUUCCAUCUUUUAUUUUUCUUUUUAUCUCUCAUCUUCUCAUAUACCCCUCCAUCAAAAAGAAGAUUAAUCACAUACAUCAUCAGGAAUCAAGAACAUUGUACAGCCGCUCAAAAAUCAUCAGUAAGAUGCUUUGAUGUUGCUGCUAAUGCUUUGAUUGUAUACGGUAAUAAAUCUGAAUCGGUGAGUGAAGAAAAAAUGCAAGAGGUAAUGAACGAACUUUUCAACAUCGUAUUUCCCAUUUAGAUGUUGGUAAGGUUGUCAAAGCUUGUUACAACGAUCCCAUUAAAGUGAAGACCUUGUUUACCUUGCCGUUGUAUAUGAGGAAAGCUUAUGUUAUAGGGCUCUUACAUCCUCAAGUCUAGUUCACGAGUUGUACUGUAUUUUUUGUUUCCUGGCAUAAAAGAAACCUCCUGGUUUUUGGUAGUUAUGACAAUGUCAUAACAUUGGUAUUUUA